CCAUCAAAAGGGUGAAAUCACGAACUAGCAUUCGUGAGGAGCUGAUCAGACGGAAGCUUCGUGUGGAUGAUCCGCAGAGGCCAGACAGUUGGGUGGCUGCGACGUGAUGAUCAGAGCCCUCCGACAGUGAUCAGAUUGCGAUGAUCGACUACCCGCAAAAGGUGAUGUGUUCUGAACACAGUACUGUAAAACGUUUACUGAUUCAAAUUUGAAUUUUAAAUUUAAAUGCAUGCUGUUGUAUCAUAUUUAGAUCC
This 254-nucleotide long non-coding RNA is filed under the name Elaeis guineensis (African oil palm). Its description in RNAcentral is "long non-coding RNA (EGUI_LNC004584)". The record is from RNAcentral. Lineage: Eukaryota; Viridiplantae; Streptophyta; Magnoliopsida; Arecales; Arecaceae.